RNAcentral lists this ribosomal RNA (305 nucleotides) under uncultured bacterium. RNAcentral's name for it is "bacterial SSU rRNA". It matches the Rfam family "Bacterial small subunit ribosomal RNA", at positions 337 to 635 of the family's 1533-position model. The record is from RNAcentral.
ACCUACGGGAGGCAGCAGUAGGGAAUUUUCGUCAAUGGGCGCAAGCCUGAACGAGCAAUGCCGCGUGAACGAGGAAGGUCUUCGGAUCGUAAAGUUCUGUUGAAGGGGAAAAAGAGCGGAGAGAGGAAAUGCUUUCUGAUUGAUAUUACCCUUCGAGGAAGUCACGGCUAACUACGUGCCAGCAGCCGCGGUAAUACGUAGGUGGCGAGCGUUAUCCGGAUUUAUUGGGUUUAAAGGGUGCGCAGGCGGAGGUGCAAGUCAGCGGUCAAAUUGCGGGGCUCAACCCCGUACUGCCGUUGAAACGG